GAGUAGAAACAAGGCUUCGGCCUGCUUUUGCU
This 32-nucleotide unclassified non-coding RNA is filed under the name synthetic construct. The record is from RNAcentral.